AAACGCAAGCGGGUAACCGGGUCAGGUCUCUAACUCUAGUGGGCCGACCCGGCAACCUCACCACCAGUUUAUCCGGCACAGUCUCCCCUUCUCUCUCCAAACUCCAAUUCUUGGACAGCAUCUAUCUACAAGAUCUCAACAACCUCUCCGGCCCCUUUCCAAAUCUCAUAUUCAGCCUCCCAAAAAUCGACAUCAUCUACAUCGAAAACAAUAAAUUUUCCGGCCCGAUUCCGCCCCGAGUCGGCGAACUCACCCAACUCAUCGCAUUCAGCCUCGAAGGAAACCGUUUCUCCGGCCCGAUUCCGAGUUCCAUUGCCAAUCUAGGUCAGUUAAUUCAGCUGAAACUCGGCGGCAACCUCCUCACCGGCGUCAUCCCCACCGCCCUCCAGAGGCUAAGCAACCUCACGCUCCUCGACUUGGCCCGGAACCACCUCUCCGGCCCGAUUCCAGAUAUAUUUCCGGGCCUGACUAAUCUCAUAAGCCUAAGCUUCUCUCACAAUAAUUUGACCGGGAAAAUUCCCGCGAGCAUUUCAAUUUUAG
RNAcentral lists this long non-coding RNA (540 nucleotides) under Salvia miltiorrhiza (redroot sage). RNAcentral describes it as "long non-coding RNA (SMIL_LNC010500)". The record is from RNAcentral. Lineage: Eukaryota; Viridiplantae; Streptophyta; Magnoliopsida; Lamiales; Lamiaceae.